CCUCCAUGGGUUUGGAUAAUAACCAUGUCCACGGGUCCAGUGGGAGGUCUGUUUGCAGUGCUCUGGAGGUGAUUUCUACAAUCUCCUUCCAAAGUCUGGAUACAUGUACGCACUCAAACCAAAUGUGGAGAUACGUGCCUUGUGCCCCGCAGCCCUUCCAGCAACGAUCGGAGUUCGUUUGCCGCAUUUGUUUGAGUUUUAGGGGGGUGAUGUACCAUCGGAGCAGGGUUUUGUACGCCUGCUCCUUAUGGUUUACACAAAUUGUUACAGAGGCUGUGGCCUCCCAAACGUCCGCCCAAUCUGAGGGGUCACUCGGGGGGCCCAGGUCUCUCUCCCAUGCUCUCACAUAGGAGAAGGCUUCUGGAGGGGCAUCCCUGGCUAAAGCAUUAUAAAGAGUGGAGAUUUGGCCCUUCUGUACGGGUGUGUGUUGGCACAUCUUCUCGAAAUGUGUGUGUUGUGUCGUCGCCGCUACCGUGAUGGUGGGAGUGGACAAGAAACUUCGCAGCUGGAGGUAACGGAAGUGAUUGAAAGUGUUGAAAGGGGUAGUUUGUGGCAGGUCGGCAAAU
Pelobates cultripes (western spadefoot toad) is the source of this 566-nucleotide non-coding RNA. The record is from the annotation of a GenBank genome assembly. Lineage: Eukaryota; Metazoa; Chordata; Amphibia; Anura; Pelobatidae.